RNAcentral lists this ribosomal RNA (574 nucleotides) under Pichia manshurica. RNAcentral's name for it is "partial large subunit ribosomal RNA". It matches the Rfam family "Eukaryotic large subunit ribosomal RNA", at positions 62 to 662 of the family's 3401-position model. Lineage: Eukaryota; Fungi; Ascomycota; Pichiomycetes; Pichiales; Pichiaceae. The record is from RNAcentral.
AAACCAACAGGGAUUGCCCCAGUAGCGGCGAGUGAAGCGGCAAGAGCUCAGAUUUGAAAUCGUGUUUCGGCACGAGUUGUAGAGUGUAGGCGGGAGUCUCUGUGGAGCGCGGUGUCCAAGUCCCUUGGAACAGGGUGCCUGAGAGGGUGAGAGCCCCGUAGGGUGCUGCGCGAAGCUUUUGAGGCCCUGCUGACGAGUCGAGUUGUUUGGGAAUGCAGCUCCAAGCGGGUGGUAAAUUCCAUCUAAGGCUAAAUAUUGGCGAGAGACCGAUAGCGAACAAGUACUGUGAAGGAAAGAUGAAAAGCACUUUGAAAAGAGAGUGAAACAGCACGUGAAAUUGUUGAAAGGGAAGGGUAUUGGGCUCGACAUGGGGGGUGCGCACCGCUGUCUCUUGUAGGCGGCGCUCUGGGCGCCCUCUGGGCCAGCAUCGGUUCCUGCUGCGGGAGAAGGGGCUCCGGAAAGUGGCUCUUCGGAGUGUUAUAGCCGGGGCCAGAUGCCGCGUGUGGGGACCGAGGACUGCGGCUUCUGUCUCGGAUGCUGGCAUAACGGCGCAAUACCGCCCGUCUUGAACCAC